This is a long non-coding RNA of Macrosteles quadrilineatus (aster leafhopper), 562 nucleotides long. RefSeq lists it as uncharacterized. The record is from RefSeq and is a predicted model, not a curated record. Lineage: Eukaryota; Metazoa; Arthropoda; Insecta; Hemiptera; Cicadellidae. The transcript has 3 exons.
CGUACACUUACAUUGUACCGCCAACAUAUAAUUUUAACGCUACAACUAUCCAAGAUUACAGUUAAUUGUGACAAUUACACAAUGGGGAUUGAUAUUUGUAUCGGAAACCAUUGCGUCGGUGUUUACAGAAAGCUAAAUCCUAAACCAAUUUGGUUUUGGAUACGCAUACUUUCGGUUGUCAUAGUGAUACUAUUGCUCCUUAUAUUAUUUGUACCAGACCUUACUGAAAGGAUUAAGAAUGCAUUAAUCAAAAGACCAACAGAAGAUUGUUCAAGUGAAAACGUUGCCAAUAAAAAUAAUGUUAAGAGAAGGGAAUAUAAUUGUCUGGAGAAAAGUAAUAAAAAGCAAAACCGAGGAGUCGAUUACGAAAAUGAAUAUAUUUCUGAGGAAAACAACUUUGACUCGGAUGAAAAUGAACAGCAAAAACCAUCAGGAGAUAUAGAAAAAAGAAAAAGGUCUACAGGAACAGCAUACACGAAACGAAGUGCAGCACCGUUAAAUAUACAAAUAUUCUUUUAGAAAUUAUAUAAAACAACUUUCAGAAAUUCACAUUAUGUUCAAA